GGUCGAUUGGGCAGCGGCCAGAUAACGCCUCCACUGCUUUCUCUUCCCCAAGAAGCAAACCCUCACCUCCCAGGUUCACAUGCAACCUUCGCUCGUCUCCUUGUUUCUCUCCUCCGCCUCUUCCUCCGGGUGUACUUGCGGCUGCAGUGGGAUGGGAGUAAAGGGGGCGAGCAGGAUGGGUGGCCAGCUGAUUUCUUCGAAGGAUCUGGAGCCCAGGGGCGACGCCGGUGAGUAACCAACCAGUUUCUCAAUCCUUCUUCCCAUCCACUUCUGAUAUGUCAUUAUGCCCAUCUUGCGGAGGACCGGGAGUGGGGGCGAUGGCCAGGCCUGGUGGUGACGGGACGAUUUAGUGGUCGGAGGCGCUGCAUCGGAUGCCAGUCAGUCUGCAACGACGCCGCGCUCGUCGCCGCCGUCGACUCCAGCGCCAGUGUGCCCCUAGGCACCUCCCGCGCCAAGGGAAGAGAUGUGAAAUGCUCAACUUAGGAGGGAGCAUAGACAAGUGUAAGCGGACCCUUUAGCAGGAGAGCAACACAACUGCUAGCUUCCCUGCGGCAGUACAGGAGAUGGAUACGAAGUCCUUGGAGGGUCAGAAUACAAAGCUCUACUAGGUGAUGGAGCUGGAGAAGUUGAGUACUUCCAGUCUCUUGACGAACGAAUCAUUAAAAUGAAGGGAGUUUCUGAUCCUAUUAAAUGUCAUUGCGGACUGGAGUACAAUGUAGAACUAGGCAGGGAUGCCAUGGGUGCAAGAUGAACUCACUAUAUAGAUGACCACAGGUCCAGUGUGUUUAAAGUAUGCAUAUGUGCGGCUGCCGUAUGUACAGCUGGACAACUCCACAUAGAGAAACUGGAUAAAGUGCCAGUGCCGCAGGAGCAAAACAGCGCCCCAGAUGAAGCCAACACGGACGACAAUUAACUUCUCUGACCUUAAUCACAUUAAUGAGUGAACUUUCUUGUAAUCCUUUUUCCUGACAUUAUAAGGCAAUGGCUUAGCCUGAUAUUUUGGUAGUUGUGUAACUUGAAACAUGAUGCUAAGCCGAACAAUUUAUUGUCCUUUUUCCGCAUGAUAUCACAUUUUGAUAGUUGCAAAGCCUAAACUAUGAUGUUUUUGCUA
Long non-coding RNA from Triticum aestivum (bread wheat), 1111 nucleotides. RefSeq lists it as uncharacterized. The record is from RefSeq and is a predicted model, not a curated record. NCBI's taxonomy places the organism in Eukaryota, Viridiplantae, Streptophyta, Magnoliopsida, Poales, Poaceae. The transcript is spliced from 5 exons.